RNAcentral lists this ribosomal RNA (467 nucleotides) under uncultured Oxalobacteraceae bacterium. Its description in RNAcentral is "bacterial SSU rRNA". It matches the Rfam family "Bacterial small subunit ribosomal RNA", at positions 334 to 796 of the family's 1533-position model. Lineage: Bacteria; Pseudomonadati; Pseudomonadota; Betaproteobacteria; Burkholderiales; Oxalobacteraceae. The record is from RNAcentral.
GACCUACGGGGGGCUGCAGUGGGGAAUUUUGGACAAUGGGGGCAACCCUGAUCCAGCAAUGCCGCGUGAGUGAAGAAGGCCUUCGGGUUGUAAAGCUCUUUUGUCAGGGAAGAAACACCGGCUCUAACACAGUCCGGGAAUGACGGUACCUGAAGAAUAAGCACCGGCUAACUACGUGCCAGCAGCCGCGGUAAUACGUAGGGUGCGAGCGUUAAUCGGAAUUACUGGGCGUAAAGCGUGCGAAGGCGGUUAUACAAGACAGACGUGAAAUCCCCGGGCUUAACCUGGGAAUGGCGCCUGUGACUGUAUAGCUAGAGUGUGUCAGAGGGGGGUAGAAUUCCACGUGUAGUAGUGAAAUGCGUAGAUAUGUGGAGGAAUACCAAUGGCGAAGGCAGCCCCCUGGGAUAACACUGACGCUCAUGCACGAAAGCGUGGGGAGCAAACAGGAUUAGAUACCCCUGUAGUCA